GGGUUGUGAGGUUAAGCGACUAAGCGUACACGGUGGAUGCCCUGGCAGUCAGAGGCGAUGAAGGACGUGCUAAUCUGCGAUAAGCGUCGGUAAGGUGAUAUGAACCGUUAUAACCGGCGAUUUCCGAAUGGGGAAACCCAGUGUGUUUCGACACACUAUCAUUAACUGAAUCCAUAGGUUAAUGAGGCGAACCGGGGGAACUGAAACAUCUAAGUACCCCGAGGAAAAGAAAUCAACCGAGAUUCCCCCAGUAGCGGCGAGCGAACGGGGAGCAGCCCAGAGCCUGAAUCAGUGUGUGUGUUAGUGGAAGCGUCUGGAAAGGCGCGCGAUACAGGGUGACAGCCCCGUACACAAAAAUGCACAUGCUGUGAGCUCGAUGAGUAGGGCGGGACACGUGGUAUCCUGUCUGAAUAUGGGGGGACCAUCCUCCAAGGCUAAAUACUCCUGACUGACCGAUAGUGAACCAGUACCGUGAGGGAAAGGCGAAAAGAACCCCGGCGAGGGGAGUGAAAAAGAACCUGAAACCGUGUACGUACAAGCAGUGGGAGCACGCUUAGGCGUGUGACUGCGUACCUUUUGUAUAAUGGGUCAGCGACUUAUAUUCUGUAGCAAGGUUAACCGAAUAGGGGAGCCGAAGGGAAACCGAGUCUUAACUGGGCGUUAAGUUGCAGGGUAUAGACCCGAAACCCGGUGAUCUAGCCAUGGGCAGGUUGAAGGUUGGGUAACACUAACUGGAGGACCGAACCGACUAAUGUUGAAAAAUUAGCGGAUGACUUGUGGCUGGGGGUGAAAGGCCAAUCAAACCGGGAGAUAGCUGGUUCUCCCCGAAAGCUAUUUAGGUAGCGCCUCGUGAAUUCAUCUCCGGGGGUAGAGCACUGUUUCGGCAAGGGGGUCAUCCCGACUUACCAACCCGAUGCAAACUGCGAAUACCGGAGAAUGUUAUCACGGGAGACACACGGCGGGUGCUAACGUCCGUCGUGAAGAGGGAAACAACCCAGACCGCCAGCUAAGGUCCCAAAGUCAUGGUUAAGUGGGAAACGAUGUGGGAAGGCCCAGACAGCCAGGAUGUUGGCUUAGAAGCAGCCAUCAUUUAAAGAAAGCGUAAUAGCUCACUGGUCGAGUCGGCCUGCGCGGAAGAUGUAACGGGGCUAAACCAUGCACCGAAGCUGCGGCAGCGACGCUUAUGCGUUGUUGGGUAGGGGAGCGUUCUGUAAGCCUGCGAAGGUGUGCUGUGAGGCAUGCUGGAGGUAUCAGAAGUGCGAAUGCUGACAUAAGUAACGAUAAAGCGGGUGAAAAGCCCGCUCGCCGGAAGACCAAGGGUUCCUGUCCAACGUUAAUCGGGGCAGGGUGAGUCGACCCCUAAGGCGAGGCCGAAAGGCGUAGUCGAUGGGAAACAGGUUAAUAUUCCUGUACUUGGUGUUACUGCGAAGGGGGGACGGAGAAGGCUAUGUUGGCCGGGCGACGGUUGUCCCGGUUUAAGCGUGUAGGCUGGUUUUCCAGGCAAAUCCGGAAAAUCAAGGCUGAGGCGUGAUGACGAGGCACUACGGUGCUGAAGCAACAAAUGCCCUGCUUCCAGGAAAAGCCUCUAAGCAUCAGGUAACAUCAAAUCGUACCCCAAACCGACACAGGUGGUCAGGUAGAGAAUACCAAGGCGCUUGAGAGAACUCGGGUGAAGGAACUAGGCAAAAUGGUGCCGUAACUUCGGGAGAAGGCACGCUGAUAUGUAGGUGAAGCGACUUGCUCGUGGAGCUGAAAUCAGUCGAAGAUACCAGCUGGCUGCAACUGUUUAUUAAAAACACAGCACUGUGCAAACACGAAAGUGGACGUAUACGGUGUGACGCCUGCCCGGUGCCGGAAGGUUAAUUGAUGGGGUCAGCGCAAGCGAAGCUCUUGAUCGAAGCCCCGGUAAACGGCGGCCGUAACUAUAACGGUCCUAAGGUAGCGAAAUUCCUUGUCGGGUAAGUUCCGACCUGCACGAAUGGCGUAAUGAUGGCCAGGCUGUCUCCACCCGAGACUCAGUGAAAUUGAACUCGCUGUGAAGAUGCAGUGUACCCGCGGCAAGACGGAAAGACCCCGUGAACCUUUACUAUAGCUUGACACUGAACAUUGAGCCUUGAUGUGUAGGAUAGGUGGGAGGCUUUGAAGUGUGGACGCCAGUCUGCAUGGAGCCGACCUUGAAAUACCACCCUUUAAUGUUUGAUGUUCUAACGU
Molecule: ribosomal RNA, 2211 nt
Filed under: Escherichia coli
Lineage: Bacteria; Pseudomonadati; Pseudomonadota; Gammaproteobacteria; Enterobacterales; Enterobacteriaceae
Description: partial 23S ribosomal RNA
Rfam family: Bacterial large subunit ribosomal RNA
Source: RNAcentral